RNAcentral lists this ribosomal RNA (496 nucleotides) under uncultured bacterium. RNAcentral's name for it is "partial 16S ribosomal RNA". It matches the Rfam family "Bacterial small subunit ribosomal RNA", at positions 28 to 506 of the family's 1533-position model. The record is from RNAcentral.
GAUGAACGCUGGCGGCGUGCCUAAUACAUGCAAGUCGAGCGAACAGAUAAGGAGCUUGCUCCUUUGACGUUAGCGGCGGACGGGUGAGUAACACGUGGGUAACCUACCUAUAAGACUGGGAUAACUUCGGGAAACCGGAGCUAAUACCGGAUAAUAUUUCGAACCGCAUGGUUCGAUAGUGAAAGAUGGUUUUGCUAUCACUUAUAGAUGGACCCGCGCCGUAUUAGCUAGUUGGUAAGGUAACGGCUUACCAAGGCGACGAUACGUAGCCGACCUGAGAGGGUGGUCGGCCACACUGGAACUGAGACACGGUCCAGACUCCUACGGGAGGCAGCAGUAGGGAAUCUUCCGCAAUGGGCGAAAGCCUGACGGAGCAACGCCGCGUGAGUGAUGAAGGUCUUCGGAUCGUAAAACUCUGUUAUUAGGGAAGAACAUACGUGUAAGUAACUGUGCACGUCUUGACGGUACCUAAUCAGAAAGCCACGGCUAACUACGU